This 1444-nucleotide ribosomal RNA is filed under the name Nostoc commune. RNAcentral describes it as "bacterial SSU rRNA". It matches the Rfam family "Bacterial small subunit ribosomal RNA". Lineage: Bacteria; Bacillati; Cyanobacteriota; Cyanophyceae; Nostocales; Nostocaceae. The record is from RNAcentral.
AGGAUGAACGCUGGCGGUAUGCUUAACACAUGCAAGUCGAACGGUGCUUUAGGGCACAGUGGCGGACGGGUGAGUAACGCGUGAGAAUCUGGCUCUAGGUCUGGGACAACCACUGGAAACGGUGGCUAAUACCGGAUGUGCCGAGAGGUGAAAGGUUAACUGCCUAGAGAUGAGCUCGCGUCUGAUUAGCUAGUUGGAAGUGUAAUGGACUCCCAAGGCGACGAUCAGUAGCUGGUCUGAGAGGACGAUCAGCCACACUGGGACUGAGACACGGCCCAGACUCCUACGGGAGGCAGCAGUGGGGAAUUUUCCGCAAUGGGCGAAAGCCUGACGGAGCAAUACCGCGUGAGGGAGGAAGGCUCUUGGGUCGUAAACCUCUUUUCUCAGGGAAGAACACAAUGACGGUACCUGAGGAAUAAGCAUCGGCUAACUCCGUGCCAGCAGCCGCGGUAAUACGGAGGAUGCAAGCGUUAUCCGGAAUGAUUGGGCGUAAAGCGUCCGCAGGUGGCAAUGUAAGUCUGCUGUUAAAGAGUGAGGCUCAACCUCAUAAGAGCAGUGGAAACUACAUAGCUAGAGUACGUUCGGGGCAGAGGGAAUUCCUGGUGUAGCGGUGAAAUGCGUAGAGAUCAGGAAGAACACCGGUGGCGAAGGCGCUCUGCUAGGCCGUAACUGACACUGAGGGACGAAAGCUAGGGGAGCGAAUGGGAUUAGAUACCCCAGUAGUCCUAGCCGUAAACGAUGGAUACUAGGCGUGGCUUGUAUCGACCCGAGCCGUGCCGUAGCUAACGCGUUAAGUAUCCCGCCUGGGGAGUACGCCGGCAACGGUGAAACUCAAAGGAAUUGACGGGGGCCCGCACAAGCGGUGGAGUAUGUGGUUUAAUUCGAUGCAACGCGAAGAACCUUACCAAGGCUUGACAUGUCGCGAAUCUUGAUGAAAGUUGAGAGUGCCUUCGGGAGCGCGAACACAGGUGGUGCAUGGCUGUCGUCAGCUCGUGUCGUGAGAUGUUGGGUUAAGUCCCGCAACGAGCGCAACCCUCGUUUUUAGUUGCCAGCAUUAAGUUGGGCACUCUAGAGAGACUGCCGGUGACAAACCGGAGGAAGGUGGGGAUGACGUCAAGUCAGCAUGCCCCUUACGCCUUGGGCUACACACGUACUACAAUGCUCCGGACAGAGGGCAGCAAGCAUGCGAAUGCAAGCAAAUCCCGUAAACCGGAGCUCAGUUCAGAUCGCAGGCUGCAACUCGCCUGCGUGAAGGAGGAAUCGCUAGUAAUUGCAGGUCAGCAUACUGCAGUGAAUUCGUUCCCGGGCCUUGUACACACCGCCCGUCACACCAUGGAAGCUGGUAGUGCCCGAAGUCAUUACUCCAACCUUUCGGGGGGGAGGAUGCCUAAGGCAGGACUGGUGACUGGGGUGAAGUCGUAACAAGGUAGCCGUACCGGAAGGU